Molecule: non-coding RNA, 988 nt
Organism: Pogona vitticeps (central bearded dragon)
Lineage: Eukaryota; Metazoa; Chordata; Lepidosauria; Squamata; Agamidae
Source: RefSeq, a predicted model, not a curated record
GCACGAACCAGCGGUACUGCCAGCCUUUCAUCACGUUGGUCCAUUUACUCAGUGGGCCCUCCAUAAUGGACGCCAUCUUGGGGAGCCGCGGAUUCCAGAUUUGCUCGACCCUCCUUCUGGCAGCCGCUGAAGUUUGUGUCGUUGGACGACCCGGGUGCCCUAAAAAGCCCCAAACGGCAGCCCUGCCCUACGGUUUUCCUUUAUUCCCGAAGGGGGGGAAAAAAAACAGGGACCCGACGGGGAAUAGUCUGUGAAGACGUUAGUCACCUCAAGAGUUGGAAGGGGCUUAAUGCCCUGGCUGCUGUUACAGAACCCUGCAAGCCAUUUACUUUGAUUUCAGAAUGGUAUCCUGUCUGAAAACUGUAACAUUUCCAUUUGGAUUACAGCUUUUUGAUUGAGGUGAAUAGAAUAUAUUUUCCCAAACAAGGUGAACUGUUUUACUGAAAUCUAAUGAAUGUGACUACAUUUGGAUCUUCGUGCGGGUAGAAUGUAAUUAGAAGGAAAAAAGAGGGGGCAAAGAAAAUGUUACACACUAUAGGUGGUAGGGAUGCAUGGAAAUAUGGACUGGGGAUAACUUCCCUCCUAGUUAUGUUGGAUCAAGCUGUUCUGCCACUGAAAAGCAGUAUUCUCCACCCAUUUUCUUUGUGGUAUGCCUGUAGUUUACAAUGUAAAAAUUAAAUAUCUAUUCCUAAUGGCAGCAGCUUUUUUUAAAAUCUAUGACCAAAGACCAAACAAAUUGAACAAUAUAAAUAAACAAUACAAAAGUUUCAACAUACAUUAUACUGAGCACUAACUCCCGAAGGGUACAAAAUUGUAGUUAUAUAUAAAGAAAAAACAUUUAAACUAAAAAGGCCUUUUACAUUAGUUCUUUCCAGGUUUUAAAUAGUCCAUUUGUAGCAUUUCCCUGAAAAAUAUUUCUGUUCAAAGAAUCCUGAUUAUUUUUCCCAAUACAUUUAUUUAGUAGGAAGGCAGUGCAUUGAACUGAUCU